UCGCUCCGCUCACGCCAUGGCGGCUAGGGUUUCUGUCACCAACUGCAUAUCCGAUUCACGCCGCCAUUCCUGGUUGCUGCCCCCAGUGGGUUUCAUUGAGGAAAAUGGUAUUCCUUCGCCUUCCCACCCCGCAAGCCUGUUCAUCGUCGUCGUCGAGGAAAUAGUCCUACCACCCCUCGCCAAGCAAUGGAUCCGACCUCCCCUAAAGUCCCGAGCAUGGCCUCCCUCAAGUUCUCAAGGCCGGCAUCCUUUGCUCCCCAUCGUUGGCUGAAGUCUGGUCUCCCCUGUACGACCCAGCCUCCUUCCCACUUCUUAACCACUAGUAUCGUCGGCCCUCAUCGGAGCCAUAAGGAUUGACUGUUGCUCCCUCAUCUUGCUACUUGAACGAUUGAGUUCCCCAGUUGACGAGAAAAAACAAGAAAGCAGUUGAUUACAAGUACAGCCACAAGCCAACAAGGGUGUUGAAAUUUUGGGAUUCAAUAAGCAUGGUAUAUUGGAAAGAUCAUGCUAUUGGGGAGGCAGCAAGAGCAGCAGCCAUGGCUUCAAAAGAAAUGGACAGAAAGUUCUUACUGUUAAGGAGAUACCAAACUUGGAUGAUCAUAUUACUUCAGAUUGGUUUGAUUUUCUUACUUCUAGGGUAUGCAAUAAUUUCCAUGUCUUUAUUGUCACUUUCAAUUGGAGUGUUAAAUCUGCUAUACAGAUUCUCUCUCUGGGUGUGCACCACUACCACAGGAAGAGAAACGCGUGUAUCUGCUACCUAGAUUGACGGAGACUGACAAAUUUAGCUACUGCAGAACAUACAUAAGAGAGAUGAGAGAGAAGCUCAUGUAUAUGUUGGAGAGAGAGAGAGAUGCAUUCAGUUGUUUUUAUUUCAUCUAGAUUAUAUUGUUUAUUCAGCUCUUGAAAA
Molecule: long non-coding RNA, 907 nt
Organism: Panicum hallii
Lineage: Eukaryota; Viridiplantae; Streptophyta; Magnoliopsida; Poales; Poaceae
Exons: 3
Source: RefSeq, a predicted model, not a curated record